GGAAGGUCAAGCCGAUGGCUGGCGACGGCAGCUGACUUGAAAUCAGUCGAGCGUGGUGACACGCCUUGAGGGAUCGUUCCCCUCACCUUCCGCCA
Molecule: transfer RNA, 95 nt
Filed under: Acinetobacter phage AM101
Lineage: Duplodnaviria; Heunggongvirae; Uroviricota; Caudoviricetes; Pantevenvirales; Straboviridae
Also listed under: 11 other names
Description: tRNA-Ser
Source: RNAcentral